UGGCGGCGUGCCUAAUACAUGCAAGUCGAACGGUCUUUCUAUGGAAGCUUGCUUCCACUGAGAAGAUAGUGGCGAACGGGUGAGUAACACGUGGGUAACCUGCCCAUAAGAGGGGGAUAACAUCCGGGAACGGGUGCUAAUACCGCAUAGUUUUCUUGAUUGCAUGAUCGGGAAAGGAAAGACGGCCUUUGUGCUGUCGCUUAUGGAUGGACCCGCGGCGUAUUAGUUAGUUGGUGAGGUAACGGCUCACCAAGACGAUGAUACGUAGCCGACCUGAGAGGGUGAUCGGCCACAUUGGGACUGAGACACGGCCCAAACUCCUACGGGAGGCAGCAGUAGGGAAUCUUCCGCAAUGGACGAAAGUCUGACGGAGCAACGCCGCGUGAGUGAAGAAGGUUUUCGGAAUCGUAAAACUCUGUUGUCAGAGAAGAACAAGUUGGAGAGUAACUGCUCCAGCCUUGACGGUAUCUGACCAGAAAGCCACGGCUAACUACGUGCCAGCAGCUGC
Molecule: ribosomal RNA, 508 nt
Filed under: uncultured bacterium
Lineage: Bacteria
Description: bacterial SSU rRNA
Rfam family: Bacterial small subunit ribosomal RNA
Source: RNAcentral